GACGAACGCUGGCGGCGUGCUUAACACAUGCAAGUCGAACGGAAAGGCCCUGCUUGCAGGGUACUCGAGUGGCCAACGGGUGAGUAACACGUGGGUGAUCUGCCCUGCACUUCGGGAUAAGCCUGGGAAACUGGGUCUAAUACCGGAUGGGUGACAUAUUUAGUGUGAUGGUUGGAAAGUUUUUUCGGGGUAGGAUGAGCUCGCGGCCUAGCGGCUUGUUGGUGGGGUUAUGGCCUACCAAGGCGGCGAGGGGUAGCCGGCCUGAGAGGGUGGACGGCCACAUUGGCACCGAGGUGAGGCCCAGAUACGGAAGGGACGGCGAAGGGCGGAAUCUUGCACAAGGGGCGCAGCGUUGGUGCAGAAGGGCUGCGGGGGGGAUGACGCCCUUCGUGUGGUAAACUACUUUCGCAAGGAACGAUGCUUUUUUUGACGGUACCUAAUUAGAAAGCCCCGGCUAACUACGUG
This 465-nucleotide ribosomal RNA is filed under the name uncultured bacterium. Its description in RNAcentral is "partial 16S ribosomal RNA". It matches the Rfam family "Bacterial small subunit ribosomal RNA", at positions 28 to 507 of the family's 1533-position model. The record is from RNAcentral.